CAGCCGCCGCGGGAAAACGGAGGGAGCUAGCGUUGUUCGGAAUUACUGGGCGUAAAGCGCGCGUAGGCGGUUACUCAAGUCAGAGGUGAAAGCCCGGGGCUCAACCCCGGAACUGCCUUUGAAACUAGGUGACUAGAAUCUUGGAGAGGUCAGUGGAAUUCCGAGUGUAGAGGUGAAAUUCGUAGAUAUUCGGAAGAACACCAGUGGCGAAGGCGACUGACUGGACAAGUAUUGACGCUGAGGUGCGAAAGCGUGGGGAGCAAACAGGAUUAGAUACCCGCGUAGUCCCUGUCUCUUAUAC
Molecule: ribosomal RNA, 301 nt
Filed under: uncultured bacterium
Lineage: Bacteria
Description: partial 16S ribosomal RNA
Rfam family: Bacterial small subunit ribosomal RNA
Source: RNAcentral